CUACGGGUGGCUGCAGUGGGGAAUUUUGGACAAUGGGGGCAACCCUGAUCCAGCCAUUCCGCGUGAGUGAAGAAGGCCUUCGGGUUGUAAAGCUCUUUCGGCAGGAACGAAACGGCUCUCUCUAACAUAGGGGGUCAAUGACGGUACCUGAAAAAGAAGCACCGGCUAACUACGUGCCAGCAGCCGCGGUAAUACGUAGGGUGCGAGCGUUAAUCGGAAUUACUGGGCGUAAAGCGUGCGCAGGCGGUUCUAUAAGACAGAUGUGAAAUCCCCGGGCUUAACCUGGGAACUGCGUUUGUGACUGUAGGACUGGAGUGUGGCAGAGGGGGGUGGAAUUCCACGUGUAGCAGUGAAAUGCGUAGAGAUGUGGAGGAACACCGAUGGCGAAGGCAGCCCCCUGGGUUAACACUGACGCUCAUGCACGAAAGCGUGGGGAGCAAACAGGAUUAGAUACCCUGGUAGUC
This 464-nucleotide ribosomal RNA is filed under the name uncultured bacterium. Its description in RNAcentral is "partial 16S ribosomal RNA". It matches the Rfam family "Bacterial small subunit ribosomal RNA", at positions 339 to 795 of the family's 1533-position model. The record is from RNAcentral.